UUUUAAUGAAAUAACUCAAUAACUCGAAGAUUUUAUGUAGAUUAUGAUGAUUCGAGUUAUAAAAUUCUUAGUUCCAUUCUCUUCAAAUUGGAAAAAUAUUAAAUAACGCACGAAUUAAUAACCACGUUUGGCAACGGUAGUCGAGAGAGUAUAAACAAAACGAAACGAAAGACUUUAGUAGCAAGCGCAUAUUCAAGACCAGUUUUUUAAAUACAUACAUACAUAUGUACAUAUAAAUACAUAGUUCAAGUUGAGUCGUGCUGAGUACCCGUUUGUUCUUUCACAUGCCUAUUUUGGUUUGAAUGAAUGGAAAUAAUUUUUUUCGUGAUAGGUUGUUAGUCAUAUACAUACACAUGCCCAUAUUUAUACUGAAUUUUGAUUACUGCAUUGAACUUGUUAACUAGAAGAAUUAGUUGUUCUUUAAACGUUAAUAAAGCCAGACGUGGUCGUUUAAAAUAAAAAAAAUAUUAAAAUCUAAAUUGAAAUUGAAAUUACUCUCAAUGAAAAUACUAUAUUUAGAAUUUAGUUAAUGUUAACGAGGACAUGACUGUUUAUGGCAUUAUUGUUCAAAUAAUUAUAGUUUGCAACUAAUAAUUGGUCGCUGUAAUAAUUAUAACUAAAUAUGAUUUAAAUUAUGCCGUGAUAAAAUGGCGAAGAAAAAACAAAUGUGUCGGUUACAGGAAAUUAAUUUAGGCAGGAAGAUUACUCGGUAUCAGCUAAGAAGUGUGAAAUACAUACGUCACCAAAAGAUUAAAGCAGAAAUGGGAACAAUCCAUAUUGGAAUCCUAAGAUAAGGGUUAUUAUUACCUAAUCGAAAAAUAAUAUUUACAAACAAAAUAAAUCUAUUUUUUCCUUUAAAAUAA
Zeugodacus cucurbitae (melon fly) is the source of this 863-nucleotide long non-coding RNA. RefSeq lists it as uncharacterized. The record is from RefSeq and is a predicted model, not a curated record. The transcript has 2 exons. Lineage: Eukaryota; Metazoa; Arthropoda; Insecta; Diptera; Tephritidae.